UAGCUCAGUGGCGAGAGCGCCGGACUGUGGAUCCGGAGGCCGCAGGGUUCGAUUGUAGAGAGCCUGU
Molecule: transfer RNA, 67 nt
Filed under: Micromonospora pisi
Lineage: Bacteria; Bacillati; Actinomycetota; Actinomycetes; Micromonosporales; Micromonosporaceae
Description: tRNA-His
Rfam family: tRNA
About the family: Transfer RNA (tRNA) molecules are approximately 80 nucleotides in length. Their secondary structure includes four short double-helical elements and three loops (D, anti-codon, and T loops).
Source: RNAcentral